AAAAACUCCGGUGGUAUGAGAUGGACCCGCGUCUGAUUAGCUAGUUGGUGGGGUAACGGCCUACCAAGGCGACGAUCAGUAGCCGACCUGAGAGGGUGACCGGCCACAUUGGGACUGAGACACGGCCCAAACUCCUACGGGAGGCAGCAGUGGGGAAUAUUGCACAAUGGGGGAAACCCUGAUGCAGCAACGCCGCGUGAGUGAAGAAGUAUUUCGGUAUGUAAAGCUCUAUCAGCAGGGAAGAAAAUGACGGUACCUGAGUAAGAAGCCCCGGCUAACUACGUGCCAGCAGCCGCGGUAAUACGUAGGGGGCAAGCGUUAUCCGGAUUUACUGGGUGUAAAGGGAGCGUAGACGGCGAUGCAAGUCUGAAGUGAAAGCCCGGGGCUCAACCCCGGGACUGCUUUGGAAACUGUAUGGCUGGAGUGCUGGAGAGGCAAGCGGAAUUCCUAGUGUAGCGGUGAAAUGCGUAGAUAUUAGGAAGAACACCAGUGGCGAAGGCGGCUUGCUGGACAGUAACUGACGUUGAGGCUCGAAAGCGUGGGGAGCAAACAGGAUUAGAUACCCUGGUAGUCCACGCUGUAAACGAUGAAUGCUAGGUGUUGGGGAGCAAAGCUUCUCGGUGCC
RNAcentral lists this ribosomal RNA (625 nucleotides) under uncultured bacterium. RNAcentral describes it as "bacterial SSU rRNA". It matches the Rfam family "Bacterial small subunit ribosomal RNA", at positions 202 to 847 of the family's 1533-position model. The record is from RNAcentral.